AUUGUGGAAUUUUACAACUGAACGCGAGCGUGGUGUAGCAGACAGCGUACUGGUCUGUUAUACUAAAGAUUUUGGGUUCGAUCCCCGGCAGAAUCGAAAAUUUUCGUACGCUCGUAGCUCCUCUCGGAAGGCAAUGGCAAACCACCGAGUAGUAGAAUACUUG
Long non-coding RNA from Trachymyrmex cornetzi, 163 nucleotides. RefSeq lists it as uncharacterized. The record is from RefSeq and is a predicted model, not a curated record. NCBI's taxonomy places the organism in Eukaryota, Metazoa, Arthropoda, Insecta, Hymenoptera, Formicidae. The transcript is spliced from 3 exons.